UUAAUCCUACAUUUAGUAAUAUUUUCCAUGUUAGAUGUAUUUGUCAUAUUUAUCAUUUAAUUGUUGGUGAUGGUAUGCGAAUAUUAAACAUAGAAAUUGAAAAGGUGAGAAUGGCUCUUAAUUGGCUAUUUUGUUCAAACCGUAGAACUAGACUUAGAGAUUAUUUUAAAAAAUGUGACGAAUAUGGCCUUAGAGAAAGAAAGGUUCCUAA
This 211-nucleotide long non-coding RNA is filed under the name Nicotiana benthamiana. RNAcentral's name for it is "long non-coding RNA (NBEN_LNC035413)". Lineage: Eukaryota; Viridiplantae; Streptophyta; Magnoliopsida; Solanales; Solanaceae. The record is from RNAcentral.